AAGGUGGCUUACGCAACAGCUAUGGAUUGGUUUAUUGCCGUGUGCUAUGCCUUU
Molecule: non-coding RNA, 54 nt
Organism: Ictidomys tridecemlineatus (thirteen-lined ground squirrel)
Lineage: Eukaryota; Metazoa; Chordata; Mammalia; Rodentia; Sciuridae
Source: Rfam